This is an RNA transcript of Benincasa hispida (wax gourd), 2281 nucleotides long. It is a transcript of the gene named putative L-cysteine desulfhydrase, chloroplastic pseudogene, with no coding region annotated. Lineage: Eukaryota; Viridiplantae; Streptophyta; Magnoliopsida; Cucurbitales; Cucurbitaceae. The record is from RefSeq and is a predicted model, not a curated record.
GGUGGGGAUAUCGUAAAAGAAUAAAGGCUAAAACAGUGACACUUGAAAUAUUUUACUCUGUUAAUGGCGGAUGCCAAAAUAUCUCUCUCUCCAUUUUCUCUCAUUGUUGUAGCACUGUUCAACUCCACUUGUUUAUACUCUAAUUUCUUUUUCCCCCUUCAUUGGCCUUGACGUUUUCCCCUUCGAACAAAACCUCCCCUCUUAUCGCAUUUCUCCUUCUUUCUUCGACCCAUUUUGCCAUUUUCUCGCUUUGCCUCUUCACUUUUCUCAUUUUCUAUCAAUUUCAGCUUCACCCAUCACCUUUAACCCUAAAUCCUGCUUACCCAUCUGCCUCCAAUGGCAUCUCACUAUGAAAAAAACCAUCUUCCCCCUGAUUCUACCCCCCAUCUCAACGGUGAUGCCAAUACCCACUUGCCCAAAAGGCCUAAAAUCUCCCCCACUUCCAUUUCUGACUCAGAAAUUCAAUCCGAGUUUGCCCACCAUGACCUUUCUGUUGCUCGGAUCAACAAUGGCAGCUUUGGCUGUUGCCCUUCUUCUGUCAUCUCUGCUCAACAGCAAUGGCAGCUUAAGUUCCUUCGCCAGCCUGAUUACUUCUAUUUCAACGAGCUCAAGAAGGGGAUUCUUGAAUCGAGAACCAUCAUUAAGGAUUUAAUCAAUGCCGAGCAUAUUGAUGAAGUUUCUAUUGUUGAUAACGCCACCACUGCGGCUGCUAUAGUUCUGCAGAAAAUCGCUAGGGAUUUUGCCGAGGGGAGAUUCGAGAAGGGUGAUGCGGCGGUUAUGCUUCACUAUGCGUAUGGUGCCGUGAAGAAGUCAAUAGAGGCGUAUGUUUCUCGAGCUGGUGGGUAUGUAAUUGAGGUUCAAUUGCCUUUUCCUGUUAAGUCUAAUGAUGAAAUUAUAUGUGAAUUUCGUAAGGCGUUGGAGAGAGGAAAGGCUAAUGGUAGGAAGGUUCGUUUGGCUGUGAUUGAUCAUAUUACAUCCAUGCCUUGUGUGGUUAUACCGGUUAAGGAGUUAGUUGAGAUUUGUAGGGAAGAAGGUGUUGAUCAAGUUUUUGUUGAUGCUGCUCAUGCUAUUGGAUGUACUGAUAUUGAUAUGCAAGAGAUUGGUGCUGAUUAUUACACUAGUAAUUUGCAUAAGUGGUUCUUUUGUCCACCUUCAAUUGCUUUCUUGUAUUCCAGGAGGUCCCCAAGUCAUUCUGAUUUGCAUCAUCCUGUUGUUUCUCAUGAGUAUGGUAAUGGGUUGGCCAUAGAAAGUGCUUGGAUUGGAACCAGGGAUUAUAGUUCACAGUUGGUGGUGCCUUCGGUUUUGAAAUUUGUUAAUAGGUUUGAAGAUGGGAUUAAGGGAAUCAAAAGGCGGAAUCAUGAGGCUGUUGUUAAGAUGGGAGAGAUGUUGGCAGAAUCAUGGAAGACUCAUCUUGGUUGCCCACCGAAUAUGUGUGCAAGUAUGGUCAUGGUGGGGCUGCCUUCAUGCUUGGGCAUCUCAAGUGAAUCUGAUACUCUGAAGUUGAGAACGCAUUUACGGGAAGAAUUUAGAGUUGAAGUCCCGAUAUAUUAUCGUGCUCCGAGAAAGGGGGAAACUGCCCCUAUAACCGGGUAUGCACGGAUUUCUCAUCAAGUGUACAACAAAUUUGAAGAUUAUGUUAAGUUUAGAGACGUAAUCAACGAACUUGUGCGAGCCGGCUUCACCUGCGCUCAACUCUCCAAAUGAGGACGGAGGAGUGUUGCAUCUUUGGUUCAGCAUUCGGGUUGGGAGUCGAUGUUGUGAUAAAGUUACUCGAUAUUUGUGGUUCUCCAUCUGAUAAAAUGAAUAUUUCUGCUAUCAAACAUCAAUGAUUAUGAAAAUUGCACACGAUGGUUCUCGUCUGCUGCAUAGCCAUGGUUUCGGUACCACGGCCAUACCCCCAAAACACUUCAAAGGUUGGUGUACCAAGCAGAAAUAAUGUCAUUAUCUUUUUAAUGACUUGAAAUGAAAGUCCUCGAGUACAGCUUAACUUGUGUAUCAGGCUUCUUGAUCAGAAUAGGACUUGUACAUAUUUGAUCCUUAUUUAACUAUCGAAUGAAGUACCGUUUUCAUCGUCCGAGUAAAAGUCAUGCAAUGUUGAGACUGGACUGUAACUUUAGUAGUUGUCGAGCUAUGGAAUUUCCGUGCAGCAAGUGCUUUUGUAUUCUCCAUUACAAAUGACUGCAGAUUUUGAUGAGUUGCAGUUUCAUAUGAUCUAAUUCCCUUGUAUUUCCAGCUGAUGAUGUGAUAUCUCAUUCUUUAAUAAUUGAUGAGAUUAGUUCAA